CUCGUUUUUAUCACUGUUUCUGUUUGUAAACUAUCUGAAAAUAACACUAACGCUCAAGAUGGCAUCUUUACAAUUAGCUGGACUUUUAGUUUUAGCAGCCACUGCAUUUGCAACUCCAGUAGAAAAAAGGUCCUGUGAACCUGCAGAUUCGGGACAGACUUUUCCCCAUGGAGAAACUUUUACAUUAGAAUCAAGUGGACCCUGCAUCAAAUACCUCUGCGACGAUGCCAGCUACGCACCAUCUUCCAUUGAAUGUAUGAAUCCCGCUGAUGGUUCAUGCCAUGCUGUAGGUACAGUUAUCACUCCAAACUGCGUUAAAAAAGAAUGUGUCCAUGAUGGCAGUGUCGGAUUCCAGGUUAUAGAGCGCAAAUGUGCCGAUAAAGACG
This is a long non-coding RNA of Patella vulgata (common limpet), 386 nucleotides long. RefSeq lists it as uncharacterized. The record is from RefSeq and is a predicted model, not a curated record. The transcript is spliced from 4 exons. NCBI's taxonomy places the organism in Eukaryota, Metazoa, Mollusca, Gastropoda, Patellidae.